RNAcentral lists this small RNA (54 nucleotides) under human gut metagenome. Its description in RNAcentral is "Streptococcus sRNA SpF59 (ldcC RNA)". It matches the Rfam family "Streptococcus sRNA SpF59 (ldcC RNA)". The record is from RNAcentral.
GACCGCCGAUAUGUUAUCGGCUAAGGCCAUACGGACAGCCGGGUCGAAUGCCGA